GAUGAACGCUGGCGGCGUGCCUAAUACAUGCGAGUCGAGCGAACGGACGAGAAGCUUGCUUCUCUGAUGUUAGCGGCGGACGGGUGAGUAACACGUGGAUAACCUACCUAUAAGACUGGGAUAACUUCGGGAAACCGGAGCUAAUACCGGAUAAUAUUUUGAACCGCAUGGUUCAAAAGUGAAAGACGGUCUUGCUGUCACUUAUAGAUGGAUCCGCGCUGCAUUAGCUAGUUGGUAAGGUAACGGCUUACCAAGGCAACGAUGCAUAGCCGACCUGAGAGGGUGAUCGGCCACACUGGAACUGAGACACGGUCCAAACUCCUACGGGAGGCAGCAGUAGGGAAUCUUCCGCAAUGGGCGAAAGCCUGACGGAGCAACGCCGCGUGAGUGAUGAAGGUCUUCGGAUCGUAAAACUCUGUUAUUAGGGAAGAACAUAUGUGUAAGUAACUGUGCACAUCUUGACGGUACCUAAUCAGAAAGCCACGGCUAACUACGUG
Molecule: ribosomal RNA, 497 nt
Filed under: uncultured bacterium
Lineage: Bacteria
Description: partial 16S ribosomal RNA
Rfam family: Bacterial small subunit ribosomal RNA
Source: RNAcentral